GAGGAGCAGCAAGCUGUGGCUUCCUGGUUUUGCUAAUCACUGGGGAGCUCCAUUGUCCCCAGACUGGCUUCCAGAUGCUCCCACUAUUUGAAUACCAGCUCCCCGUGAAAAGGAAGGAAAGAUGGAGUCAGAUUAGCCGGGACUGUGGAUGGUGAUGGACCUCAACCGGAGUCGUUCUGUGCAACUGAAUGAUGGGCACGUCAUGCCGAUGCUUGGGUUUGGCACUCCUGCUUCUGAUGAUAUAGGUUCCUAAGAACAAGGCUGGUGAGGCCACCAAAGUGGCUAUUGAUGUAGGUUUCCUUCUGUUUGAUGCCGCAUAUGUCUAUCAAAAUGAGGAGGAAGUUGGUAAGGCCAUCAGAGAAGAUUGCUGAUGGGACCGUGACG
Canis lupus familiaris (dog) is the source of this 384-nucleotide long non-coding RNA. RefSeq lists it as uncharacterized. The record is from RefSeq and is a predicted model, not a curated record. NCBI's taxonomy places the organism in Eukaryota, Metazoa, Chordata, Mammalia, Carnivora, Canidae. The transcript has 3 exons.